UGCCUUAGUAGCGGCGAGUGAAGCGGCAAAAGCUCAAAUUUGAAAUCUGGCUCUUUCAGAGUCCGAGUUGUAAUUUGAAGAAGGUAUCUUUGGGUCUGGCUCUUGUCUAUGUUUCUUGGAACAGAACGUCACAGAGGGUGAGAAUCCCGUGCGAUGAGAUGAUCCAGGCCUAUGUAAAGUUCCUUCGAAGAGUCGAGUUGUUUGGGAAUGCAGCUCUAAGUGGGUGGUAAAUUCCAUCUAAAGCUAAAUAUUGGCGAGAGACCGAUAGCGAACAAGUACAGUGAUGGAAAGAUGAAAAGAACUUUGAAAAGAGAGUGAAAAAGUACGUGAAAUUGUUGAAAGGGAAGGGCUUGAGAUCAGACUUGGUAUUUUGUAUGUUACUUCUUCGGGGGUGGCCUCUACAGUUUAUCGGGCCAGCAUCAGUUUGGGCGGUAGGAGAAUUGCGUUGGAAUGUGGCACGGCUUCGGUUGUGUGUUAUAGCCUUCGUCGAUACUGCCAGCCUAGACUGAGGACUGCGGUUUAUACCUAGGAUGUUGGCAUAAUGAUCUUAAGUCGCCCGUCUUGA
Molecule: ribosomal RNA, 565 nt
Filed under: Candida tropicalis
Lineage: Eukaryota; Fungi; Ascomycota; Pichiomycetes; Serinales; Debaryomycetaceae
Description: partial large subunit ribosomal RNA
Rfam family: Eukaryotic large subunit ribosomal RNA
Source: RNAcentral